GNCUCCCGGGCCCGCAAGGCGGUCCAGCGGGGAAUUUCGAUUUACCGCGAAGUAACUNACCCUUGCCCUUGACACUGACAGAAUCCUGCAGAGAUGCGGGAGNUGCCUUCGGGCCUGGAAAACAGGUGCUGCAUGGCUGUCGUCAGCUCGUGUCUGUGAGAUGUUGGGUUAAGUCCCGCAACGAGCGCAACCCUUGUCCUAGUGCCAUCAUUUAGUUGGGCACUCUAGGGAGACUGCCGGUGAUAAACCGGAGGAAGGUGGGGAUGACGUCAAGUCAUCAUGGCCCUUAUGGGCAGGGCUACACACGUGCUACAAUGGGCGGUACAAAGGGUUGCCAACCCGCGAGGGGGAGCUAAUCCCACAAAGCCGUUCGUAGUGUGCAGUCUGCAACUCGACUGCAUGAAGUCGGAUCGCUAGUAUCGCAAUCAGCGUUGCUGCGGAGAAU
RNAcentral lists this ribosomal RNA (445 nucleotides) under uncultured bacterium. Its description in RNAcentral is "bacterial SSU rRNA". It matches the Rfam family "Bacterial small subunit ribosomal RNA", at positions 917 to 1367 of the family's 1533-position model. The record is from RNAcentral.